GCGUAGAGAGAGCAGGUGUUGGUUCCCAUUUCAAAUCUUGAACCUAAAUAACGGGUUUGAAAAUGAUGCUACUCUUGUUCUUACUCUCCAAUUUAGAGGUGAUGAAAUCCCCCGGCCUGUGGAUUAUUUGACCAAGAUGCCACCUGACCUUACAUCCUCUGGCAGAUCCUGAUGGGAGUCGUUACAAAGAGGACAAUAUGGCUUUAUGGUGACUUUCACUGACAUGCAAGGUUUUCAGAGAAAUUUUCAGCAAGCCCAAGUUCAGAGAAAUGGUCCCCUUUGUAUGUCCAAACAGUAAUUUUUUUAAAUCUAAAUUGUGUUGUGAACUGGAGUGCAUUUUCCAGACAAUAUGGGCAAGAGCUCCGGGUGCCUUACUCGUUGACUUUGAAAUAUACAAGGACUGCCCACCUGGAUAUGUAGGUGAUGGCAGAAGGGGAGUCCUGAAUGGGUUUUAUUCCGACAAGGAGGUUCAGGGCUAUUGCUCAUUUGAUUGUUUUUUCAAUGAUGGAGGGGAACUUCAGGCUGUGUAGAUUGUGUGUGUACGGUUAAUGUACGUGAUUAUCUGUAUGUGUGUAUUAUGUCUUUUAAACAAUUAUUUUUGUUUUGAAAUAAAAGUUAUCACUGGUA
Molecule: long non-coding RNA, 627 nt
Organism: Paramisgurnus dabryanus
Lineage: Eukaryota; Metazoa; Chordata; Actinopteri; Cypriniformes; Cobitidae
Source: RefSeq, a predicted model, not a curated record